This 446-nucleotide ribosomal RNA is filed under the name uncultured bacterium. RNAcentral describes it as "bacterial SSU rRNA". It matches the Rfam family "Bacterial small subunit ribosomal RNA", at positions 355 to 825 of the family's 1533-position model. The record is from RNAcentral.
UGGGGAAUAUUGGACAAUGGGCGCAAGCCUGAUCCAGCCAUGCCGCGUGAGUGAUGAAGGCCUUAGGGUUGUAAUGCUCUUUUGGCGGGGACGAUAAUGACGGUACCCGCAGAAUAAGCCCCGGCUAACUUCGUGCCAGCAGCCGCGGUAAUACGAAGGGGGCUAGCGUUGUUCGGAAUUACUGGGCGUAAAGCGCACGUAGGCGGAUCGGCAAGUCAGGGGUGAAAGCCCUGGGCUCAACCUAGGAAUUGCGCUUGAAACUACGGAGCUAGAGUUUGGCAGAGGGGGUGGAAUUCCACGUGUAGCAGUGAAAUGCGUAGAUAUGUGGAGGAACACCGAUGGCGAAGGCAGCCCCCUGGGCCAAAACUGACGCUCAGGCACGAAAGCGUGGGGAGCAAACAGGAUUAGAUACCCAAGUAGUCCCUGAGCGGGCUGGCAAGGCGCAU